UCACAGGCAGCAGAGAACUGGAAGGAAAGGCGGCCAAAUGAGGUGUUGGCUUUAGGGAUGAUCAGUGAGAUACACCUGCUGGAGCGCGUGCUACGGAUGGGUGUUGCCAUCGUGACCAGUGAACUGAGAUAAGGCGGAGCUUUACCUAGCAUGGACUUGUAGAUGACCUGGAGCCAGUGGGUGAUGAAAGGGGACAUAAGAUAAAACACUUAUGUAAACACCAGUACGUACACCAGUAACAUGUGAAACAGGAAAUGAACUACCAUCCUGAAGUAUGACUAAAAAUAAAAAGCACAGCAGUUUUUUGGGGCGAGACAAACGGGAGACGUUCAUCAGUAGGAAUAAACACCAUCCAUGUUACCGUGACGUCGACGGGCUCAGUUCCAUCUCUUGGCUAUCAACCCCCCUCCCUCCCUCCAACACCUACAAGCAGAUGACAAAUACAAUGACAGCAAUUGUAAAACAUCCACCUGGGCUCCUUUGAGUUCAAAUGUUUACCCAAAAUACCUGAUUUCACACUGUCGUCUUGUUUUCUGACGAUUGGGCUAGGUGUUGCAUGUCUAGUGUGGGGGCUAGGUGUUGCAUGUCUAGUGUGGGGGCUAGGUGUUGCAUGUCUAGUGUGGGGGCUAGGUGUUGCAUGUCUAGUGUGGGGGCUAGGUGUUGCACACACACGUUCUGGACAUUGCAACAGUUCAUUCAUGCAUAGAUCAUCAGAAACACUACAAACAUACCACCAGCAUGUAUACAGGUUUCAGACCACCAGCAUGCAUACAGGUUUCAGACCACCAGCAUGUAUACAGGUUUCAGACCACCAGCAUGCAUACAGGUUUCAGACCACCAGCAUGUAUACAGGUUUCAGACCACCAGCAUGUAUACAGGUUUCAGACCACCAGCAUGCAUACAGGUUUCAUACCACCAGCAUGCAAUGCAACGGUCAUUGACAGCUGUAUAAGAUGCUUGGUUAGUAUAGCCAGAGUUGAUGUCUCAAGAGAUACAUUAGAUAGAGUUGUAGCUAUAAAUGAUCGUGUUAGGGUUAUAGAGAGGUAUAAUGUUAUAGCUACCUCAACCAUAAUGUUCUUCUCUGGGGAUUUUGUAGAGACAUUGCAUCUCUUCUUGGCACCCCUGCCUGUAGUUGGUGGGCUUUCUUCCCGUUGACGCUUCUUCUCGGGUACCUCAUUCACGGAAUCACAGUUAAAACACCUGGUCUUGGUAUCACUAACAAAAAAGCUGUUAGAAUUGUAAGUAUAUGCAUGUCCCUGUGUAAUUGUAAUGUGAUAUUGUACCCCCUAGCGCGAUUGUCCAUGGUUUGUAAUCUAUGUAUGCUUGUGUUCUCUCAUGUGCUUUAUGUAUUGAUUUGUUGUUAAUAAUAAAACAUUUAAAAUAAUAAAAAACCUGGUCUUGGUAUCAUCUCUUCCGGUCUCUACUGGGCCUUGUUGGGAAUUCAUAACUUCUUCGCCGGGAGUUCCAAACGCCGGUGUUUGCGUUGUAGCUUUCCAUGCAUGUAACACAUGCAUGGUCUUUUCAACCUUACUAAUGUUACGAAAACACUUCUGACAUCAUUGUCGAUGUAUCUUCGUGCAGUGUCAGGUUUAUGCCGAGGGAUGAUAACCUAGUCAGAAUGGUACAAUUCGACUUUGACACAAGGGAACGCACAUGUUGGAGCGCACCAAAUAUCCUUCGAUUUUGGUCGCAGAGACGGCAUCUAUCAAGAUGGUUUGCAGCUUUAGGCAUAGUUCAACAAAACAGUGGCGCAACUAAACUGUAC
Long non-coding RNA from Oncorhynchus tshawytscha (Chinook salmon), 1765 nucleotides. The record is from Ensembl. NCBI's taxonomy places the organism in Eukaryota, Metazoa, Chordata, Actinopteri, Salmoniformes, Salmonidae.